Molecule: long non-coding RNA, 790 nt
Organism: Brassica napus (rape)
Lineage: Eukaryota; Viridiplantae; Streptophyta; Magnoliopsida; Brassicales; Brassicaceae
Exons: 2
Source: RefSeq, a predicted model, not a curated record
UCAAGCAAAUCAAUUAAUUAAACUACAAAACCAAAACUUAAACAAAACUAAAUAACCAUGUUUUGGUUUUGGCUCCAAAUUAUUUGGAAUUGACAUUAAAUAUUUUAGGUUUCCCACGUAAAAAAAAAAGGUUUCCCAUGUUUUGAGAAUUUGCUCUAUCUCAUAACCCUAUUCGACUCUUAUUUGGCGUAGCCUCCAUCUACUCUUUUCUCUCUUUCUCUAGCAAAUCAACAAUCCUUUCAGAUUCUUCUUUUUUAUUCAGUUCAUCCAUUUGAUUCUAACUCCCUCUUAUGUUCUUCUCCCUGAACAUCUCUUUCUUUAUUUUUAUCUCUCAGCGAUUUUUAGGAUUCAGAUUUCAAAGCUCUUUUCACUCACUAAUGGUCGAAACUUUUACCCUACUGCUUCUCAACGACUCCAAGGAUCUGUAAUGCCAAUGGAAUUUACUAGCUAGUCGAAAUGCAGAUACAACCACUACUUUGUAGUAGAUCUGACCACUACAGUGUUAAAGGCUUUCAUCGGGAGUAUAUGAACAGCCAAUGAUGAUGGCGGAGGUGUAGACAAGGGCGGAAGGAGAAGGAGGUAGUGGUGUGGGAGACCAGGAGUAUACGAAUCUCGUUUGGUUGCUGUGGUUUGACGGAGGCAAAGGAGGUGGUGGUGUAGGAGACCAGUUUACCCUAAUUUGCUUUGCUUUGGUUUGUAUCAUAUUUGGUUUCUAAUACCAGGUUAAUUUUUGUAACCAGUUAACCGAUAUGUAGUUUGGGUUGUCAAUAAAAUAUAUUCUAAUUACAAA